CAGCAGCCGCCGCGGGAAUACGAAGGGGGCUAGCGUUGCUCGGAAUGACUGGGCGUAAAGGGCGCGUAGGCGGUUUGUACAGUUGGAUGUGAAAUUCCUGGGCUUAACCUGGGGGCUGCAUUCAAUACGUGCAGGCUUGAAUGGGGAAGAGGGUCGUGGAAUUCCCAGUGUAGAGGUGAAAUUCGUAGAUACUGGGAAGAACACCGGUGGCGAAGGCGGCGACCUGGUCCUUGACUGACGCUGAGGCGCGAAAGCGUGGGGAGCAAACAGGAUUAGAUACCCGCGUAGUCCCUGUCUCUUAUAA
This 304-nucleotide ribosomal RNA is filed under the name uncultured bacterium. Its description in RNAcentral is "partial 16S ribosomal RNA". It matches the Rfam family "Bacterial small subunit ribosomal RNA", at positions 506 to 809 of the family's 1533-position model. The record is from RNAcentral.